GAUGAAGAACGUAGCGAAAUGCGAUAAGUAAUGUGAAUUGCAGAAUUCAGUGAAUCAUCGAAUCUUUGAACGCACAUUGCGCCCGCCAGUAUUCUGGCGGGCAUGCCUGUUCGAGCGUCAUUUCAACCAUCAAGCCCCCGGCUUGUGUUGGGGACCUGCGGCUGCCGCAGGCCCUGAAAACCAGUGGCGGGCUCGCUGUCACACCGAGCGUAGUAGAUUUUCAUCUCGCUCAGGGCGUGCUGCGGGUUCCGACCGUAAAAAGCCUUAUUUACCCAAGGUUGACCUCGGAUCAGGUAGGAAGACCCGCUGAACUUAAGCAUAUCAAUAAGCGGAGGA
Molecule: unclassified non-coding RNA, 336 nt
Filed under: soil metagenome
Description: partial contains 5.8S ribosomal RNA, internal transcribed spacer 2, and large subunit ribosomal RNA
Rfam family: 5.8S ribosomal RNA (bases 1-120)
Source: RNAcentral